GACGAACGCUGGCGGCGUGCUUAACACAUGCAAGUCGAACGGAAAGGCCCUGCUUGCAGGGUACUCGAGUGGCGAACGGGUGAGUAACACGUGGGUGAUCUGCCCUGCACUUCGGGAUAAGCCUGGGAAACUGGGUCUAAUACCGGAUAGGAGCCAUUUUUAGUGUGAUGGUUGGAAAGUUUUUUCGGUGUAGGAUGAGCUCGCGGCCUAUCAGCUUGUUGGUGGGGUAAUGGCCUACCAAGGCGGCGACGGGCAGCCGGCCUGAGGGGGUGGACGGCCACAUUGGGACUGGGGUACGGCCCAGACUCCUACGGGGGGCAGCAGUGGGGAAAAUUGCACAAUGGGCGCGAGCCUGAUGCAGCGACGCCGCGUGGGGGAUGACGGCCUUCGGGUUGGAAACUCCUUUCGCUAGGGACGAAGCUUUUUGUGACGGUACCUAGAUAAGAAGCACCGGCUAACUACGUG
Molecule: ribosomal RNA, 465 nt
Filed under: uncultured bacterium
Lineage: Bacteria
Description: partial 16S ribosomal RNA
Rfam family: Bacterial small subunit ribosomal RNA
Source: RNAcentral